UCAGUAACAACCUUUUGGCCUAGAAGGGCUGUCCUAUAGAAAAUAAAUAAAGGUGUGUCAGAGACUUAGGAAGAAAAGGGAGAAUCUAUUCCAUGGAAAGUGGAAAGGAUUGAAUGCUACUCAAGUCCCUUCCAAGUCUGAGAUUUAAUUUUUGAGUAAGAUACUUAAGGCUAAAAAACAGAAGACAAACAGUAACAGCAGUUCAACCUCAGGAAAGUAAAUGGGAAAAGACAGGAUCUUUUAUUUUCAGUCCUCAAAGAUAGAGGAUAUACUAAAUUCUUUUUUCAAAGGAGCUCUCUUGAGAAACCUUGAUUUGAGUUUCAGCUGCUAUGUUAAAAAGAGCUAUGAAUGGGUAAUUUAUUAUCACUGAUAUUUUACUUUUUACUGUGAAAACAGCACUGUUACAUUUAGUUCGAUUCAGUUAACCAUAUAUACAAACAGAAUAAAUUGAAGAUUUUCUAAAGGCUUGAGUUAGGAAAUUAAUCUUUUAAAUUGUUCACAUUCUAAUUGCUGCUUAUCCACUAAGAGAAGGCUUGCUGUAUUUAGUGUUUUUGACUAAUAUAAGAGUAAGUCAUUGGAAGCUUGUUUUUAUUAUCUUAAUAUGUAUUUUACUGUUUGGGGGGGAAGAAGGAAGAAAAAAAACAUUAAAUUUGAGAUAAAAAGAUAUGAGAAUAAUAGAAAUAUUUGAGAAUUAUCUGCUAUCCCUGCUAUUAAGUAGAAGAUAGAUACAAAUAUUUUAGUUCCGAAUUUCUCUAAUAUAUGGAGUAUGGCUAAGUGGGCUUCCACAUUCUUCUUUCCACAGCUUUUUCAGAAAGAAGAAUAUUCACAGAACCCAGCAGUUAUUAGAGUAGGUUCCUGCUUUGGACUAAACUUAGACCUCUCAGUCCUCUCCACCUCUCGGUUUCUCAAAUACUUUUUGUUUUAAUUAUUUUUCUGGCUAUAAUUCUCUGGUGAAAUUCAUUAGUUUUACAUACUUUACUGAUUUUUACAUUUUAAACAAGAUUGUUCACAAGCAGGAAUAAUUCAAAUCUUUUAAGUACUACAAUUACAUUUUGUUCAAAAAUCAAGUCUGACAUUAUGUCUAGUCAAAUAAUCCUUAUAGUUUUUUAAAUUAUAAAAAAUAUCCACCCUAAAAAAGUCAAUGAAGGAGUUCCUGUCAUGGCUCAGAGGGAAGGAACCCGACUAGUAUCCAUAAGGAUACAGGUUUAAUCCCUGGCCUUACUCAGUGGGUUAAGGAUCCAUUGUUGCUCUGAGCUGUGGUGUAGGUGUAGAUUGCAGACAUGGCUCGUAUCUAGCAUUGCUGUCUCUCGUGUACACCAGCAGCUACAGCUCCGAUUAGACCCCUAGCCUGGGAAUUUCCAUAUGUGAAGGGUGCAGCACUAAAACAAACAAACAAAAAAGUCAAUCACAUCUUUUAAGUUAGCACUUUUUGUUUAGGGUGUGCUGUGAAUAAAAUUGUUUAUGUUAUGUGGGAGUUUUAAAAUACUU
Long non-coding RNA from Phacochoerus africanus (Common warthog), 1488 nucleotides. RefSeq lists it as uncharacterized. The record is from RefSeq and is a predicted model, not a curated record. The transcript has 3 exons. Lineage: Eukaryota; Metazoa; Chordata; Mammalia; Artiodactyla; Suidae.